CUUGUAGCCUCCUAGAUCUUCUUGUGAGGUUGUUGUCAAUGUUGUGAUCACAAGGGAUGCAACACUGCCUUAUGAAUAUGAUGGUUUACGAUUUGUCGCCGAUGCUGUCACAAGGUCCAUUGCAUGGCCAUCUAGCAAGGUAAUCACCAACAAUAUGUGUUUUGUCUACUUGGCUCAAAUUGUUUGACGUGUCAUACUGAUUCAUGAUCACUUUGGUAGAUGAAACCCUACAAGCCAGGGGCAUCUUCCUCAUCCCACCACUAAGAUCUCUGAUGGUGGUGGAAAGACAACAUUUGUUUAUUUCAUUGUCGAUAAGAAAACGUUGCUGUCAGGUUGUGUACGGAAGACAAGAGGAACAAGAAGGAACCAUGAAGUUGUCAGUUUGCGUCAACUAGAUAUCUUUUGUAAUGGAGCAAAACCAAUGCAUCUUGUAGCUACCAUUUUGUAAAGGAUAUCUUGUAACGUAGCAAGCAUUGA
This is a long non-coding RNA of Triticum aestivum (bread wheat), 477 nucleotides long. RefSeq lists it as uncharacterized. Lineage: Eukaryota; Viridiplantae; Streptophyta; Magnoliopsida; Poales; Poaceae. The transcript has 3 exons. The record is from RefSeq and is a predicted model, not a curated record.